CGAAAGUUAAGAAGGUUCGAAGGCGAUCAGAUACGCCCUACGUUCUAACCAUAACGAAUGCUGACCAGCGAUCCGCCGGCGCUAUUCCCAUGGCCCGGCGGGAAGCUUCCAGGGAACCAAAGUACUUUGAGUUCCGGGGAAGGUAUGGUUGCAAAGACUGAACUUAAAGGAAAUUAGACGGAAGGGCGACCACCAGGAGUGGAGCCUGCGGCUUAAUUUGACUCAACACGGGAAACCUCACCAGGCCCGGACACCGGAAGGAUUGACAGAAUGAGAGCUCUUUCUCGAUUCGGUGGGUGGUGGUGCAUGGCCGUUCUUAGUUGGUGGAGUGAUUUGUCUGGUUAAUUCCGAUAACGAACGAGACUCAGACCAAGUCUCUGCUACCGA
Molecule: ribosomal RNA, 387 nt
Filed under: Paguristes cadenati
Lineage: Eukaryota; Metazoa; Arthropoda; Malacostraca; Decapoda; Diogenidae
Description: bacterial SSU rRNA
Rfam family: Eukaryotic small subunit ribosomal RNA
Source: RNAcentral